GGACCCAUAGCUCAGUUGGUUAGAGCAGCGGUCUCAUAAACCGUUGGUCCCGUGUUCAAGUCACGGUGGGUCCA
Molecule: transfer RNA, 74 nt
Filed under: Oligoflexus sp.
Lineage: Bacteria; Pseudomonadati; Bdellovibrionota; Oligoflexia; Oligoflexales; Oligoflexaceae
Description: tRNA-Ile
Rfam family: tRNA
About the family: Transfer RNA (tRNA) molecules are approximately 80 nucleotides in length. Their secondary structure includes four short double-helical elements and three loops (D, anti-codon, and T loops).
Source: RNAcentral